RNAcentral lists this long non-coding RNA (270 nucleotides) under Vigna radiata. RNAcentral's name for it is "long non-coding RNA (VRAD_LNC017295)". The record is from RNAcentral. Lineage: Eukaryota; Viridiplantae; Streptophyta; Magnoliopsida; Fabales; Fabaceae.
GCCUGUGUAAUCGCUUACAAACAGGCUGUAAGCGAUUACCAGGGGAGAGAGAACAUGAAUUUGAAAAUGAAAUCCCUAGGAGUGAGAAAACAGUGUUAUGGAGAGAGGAUAAAGUGCCAAAACGAAGGAGAAGCACUUUCGGAAUCCAAUCCUGAACCCUAUACAAAUCAGAUUUUUAAAUUAAAAAUAACAUUAAAAAUAGACCAAUUAAAAAGAACCACAAACUUCAAACUUCAAACAAACUCCAGAUUGAAGAAAAACAAAGAAAGA